RNAcentral lists this ribosomal RNA (1514 nucleotides) under Vibrio cholerae. RNAcentral's name for it is "partial 23S ribosomal RNA". It matches the Rfam family "Bacterial large subunit ribosomal RNA", at positions 1456 to 2925 of the family's 2925-position model. The record is from RNAcentral. Lineage: Bacteria; Pseudomonadati; Pseudomonadota; Gammaproteobacteria; Vibrionales; Vibrionaceae.
AUUGCGAUGGGGGGACGGAGAAGGCUAGGUGGGCCAGGCGACGGUUGUCCUGGUUCAAGUGCGUAGGCUUGAGAGUUAGGUAAAUCCGGCUCUCUCUAAGGCUGAGACACGACGUCGAGCUGCUACGGCAGUGAAGUCAUUGAUGCCAUGCUUCCAGGAAAAGCCUCUAAGCUUCAGAUAGUCAGGAAUCGUACCCCAAACCGACACAGGUGGUCGGGUAGAGAAUACCAAGGCGCUUGAGAGAACUCGGGUGAAGGAACUAGGCAAAAUGGUACCGUAACUUCGGGAGAAGGUACGCUCUUGAUGGUGAAGUCCCUCGCGGAUGGAGCUGACGAGAGUCGCAGAUACCAGGUGGCUGCAACUGUUUAUUAAAAACACAGCACUGUGCAAAAUCGCAAGAUGACGUAUACGGUGUGACGCCUGCCCGGUGCCGGAAGGUUAAUUGAUGGGGUUAGCGCAAGCGAAGCUCUUGAUCGAAGCCCCGGUAAACGGCGGCCGUAACUAUAACGGUCCUAAGGUAGCGAAAUUCCUUGUCGGGUAAGUUCCGACCUGCACGAAUGGCGUAAUGAUGGCCACGCUGUCUCCACCCGAGACUCAGUGAAAUUGAAAUCGCUGUGAAGAUGCAGUGUACCCGCGGCUAGACGGAAAGACCCCGUGAACCUUUACUACAGCUUGGCACUGAACAUUGAACCUACAUGUGUAGGAUAGGUGGGAGGCUAUGAAGACGUGACGCCAGUUGCGUUGGAGCCGUCCUUGAAAUACCACCCUUGUAUGUUUGAUGUUCUAACUUAGACCCAUUAUCUGGGUUGAGGACAGUGCCUGGUGGGUAGUUUGACUGGGGCGGUCUCCUCCCAAAGAGUAACGGAGGAGCACGAAGGUGGGCUAAUCACGGUUGGACAUCGUGAGGUUAGUGCAAUGGCAUAAGCCCGCUUAACUGCGAGAAUGACGGUUCGAGCAGGUGCGAAAGCAGGUCAUAGUGAUCCGGUGGUUCUGUAUGGAAGGGCCAUCGCUCAACGGAUAAAAGGUACUCCGGGGAUAACAGGCUGAUACCGCCCAAGAGUUCAUAUCGACGGCGGUGUUUGGCACCUCGAUGUCGGCUCAUCACAUCCUGGGGCUGAAGUCGGUCCCAAGGGUAUGGCUGUUCGCCAUUUAAAGUGGUACGCGAGCUGGGUUUAGAACGUCGUGAGACAGUUCGGUCCCUAUCUGCCGUGGGCGUUGGAAGAUUGAAGGGGGCUGCUCCUAGUACGAGAGGACCGGAGUGGACGAACCUCUGGUGUUCGGGUUGUGUCGCCAGACGCAUUGCCCGGUAGCUAAGUUCGGAAUUGAUAAGCGCUGAAAGCAUCUAAGCGCGAAGCGAGCCCUGAGAUGAGUCUUCCCUGAUACUUUAAGUAUCCUAAAGGGUUGUUCGAGACUAGAACGUUGAUAGGCAGGGUGUGUAAGCGUUGUGAGGCGUUGAGCUAACCUGUACUAAUUGCCCGUGAGGCUUAACCAUACAACACCCAAGGGGUUUUGUA